GACGAACGCUGGCGGCGUGCUUAACACAUGCAAGUCGAACGGAAAGGCCUCUUUCGGGGGGUACUCGAGUGGCGAACGGGUGAGUAACACGUGAGUAACCUGCCCUUGACUUUGGGAUAACUUCAGAAAACUGGGGCUAAUACCGGAUAGGAGCUCCUGCUGCAUGGUGGGGGUUGGAAAGUUUCGGCGGUUGGGGAUGGACUCGCGGCUUAUCAGCUUGUUGGUGGGGUAGUGGCUUACCAAGGCUUUGACGGGUAGCCGGCCUGAGAGGGUGACCGGCCACAUUGGGACUGAGAUACGGCCCAGAAUCCUACGGGAGGCAGCAGUGGGGAAUAUUGCAAAAUGGGUGGAAGCCUGAUGCAGCAACGCCGGGUGCGGGAUGACGGCCUUCGGGUUGUAAACCGCUUUCGCUCAUGACGAAGCUUUGUGUGACGGUAGUGGGUAAAGAAGCACCGGCUAACUACGUG
RNAcentral lists this ribosomal RNA (467 nucleotides) under uncultured bacterium. Its description in RNAcentral is "partial 16S ribosomal RNA". It matches the Rfam family "Bacterial small subunit ribosomal RNA", at positions 28 to 507 of the family's 1533-position model. The record is from RNAcentral.